CUCCUCCUCCUCCUCCCUGUCUGCUCCUCAUCAUCGUAUCUGGUGCUCCUCCUCUAUCUCUGUUCCAUCUCCUCCUCUUCCUCUUCUUCUCUGUCUGCUCCUUCUCCUCCUGUCUGGUCCUCCUCCUCCUCCUCCUCCUCCUCCUCCUCCUCCUCCUCCUCCUCCUCCUCCUCUGCCUGUCUGGUGCUCCUCCUCCUGUCUGGUCCUCCUCCUCCUCCUCCUCCUCUUCCUCCUGUCUGGUCCUCCUCCUCCUCCUCCUCCUCCUCCUCCUCCUCCUCCUCCUCUUCCUGUCUGGUGCUCCUCCUCCUCCUCCUCCUCCUCCUCCUCCUCCUCCUCCUCUUCCUGUCUGGUCCUCCUCCUCCUCCUCCUCCUCCUCCUCUUCCUGUCUGGUGCUCCUCCUCCUCCUCCUCCUCCUCCUCCUCCUCCUCUUCCUCCUGUCUGGUCCUCCUCCUCCUCCUCCUCCUCCUCCUCCUCCUCCUCCUCCUCCUCUUCCCCCUUCUCCUCCUCUUCCUGUCUGGUGCUCCUCCUCCUCCUCCUCCUCCUCCUCUUCCUGUCUGGUCCUCCUCCUCCUCCUCCUCCUCCUCCUCCUCCUCCUCUUCCUCUUCCUGUCUGGUGCUCCUCCUCCUCCUCCUCCUCCUCCUCCUCCUCCUCCUCCUCCUCCUCCUCCUCCUCUUCCUGUCUGGUCCUCCUCCUCCUCCUCCUCCUCCUCCUCCUCCUCCUCCUCCUGUCUGGUGCUCCUCCUACUGUCUGGUCCUCCUCCUCCUCUUCCUGUCUGGUCCUCCUCCUCCUCCUCCUCCUCCUCCUCCUCCUCCUCCUCCUCCUCCUCCUCCUCCUCCUCCUCCUCCUCUUCCUGUCUGGUCCUCCUCCUCCUCCUCCUCCUCCUCUUCCUGUCUGGUGCUCCUCCUACUGUCUGGUCCUCUCAAUGGCUUAAGCCCAGUUCAGACCAAAGAUUCACCUUGCAACGACUUGCAACUCGCAACUCCUUGCGACGCCUUGCAACGAGACGGGCUGCGACGUUCUAAAACUGGGCAGUUCACAC
Molecule: long non-coding RNA, 1039 nt
Filed under: Gadus morhua (Atlantic cod)
Lineage: Eukaryota; Metazoa; Chordata; Actinopteri; Gadiformes; Gadidae
Description: lncRNA (ENSGMOG00000029014.1)
Source: RNAcentral